GACGAACGCUGGCGGCGUGCUUAACACAUGCAAGUCGAACGGUGAAGCGCCUUCCUUUUUGGUGGGUGUGGUUGAGUGGCGAACGGGUGAGUAACACGUGAGUAACCUGCCCCCUUCUUCUGGAUAACCGCAUGAAAGUGUGGCUAAUACGGGAUAUUCUGGGUCUGUCGCAUGAUGGGUCUGGGAAAGAUAUUGUUUCGGUGGGGGAUGGGCUCGCGGCCUAUCAGCUUGUUGGUGGGGUGAUGGCCUACCAAGGCGGUGACGGAUAGCCGGCCUGAGAGGGUGGACGGUCACACUGGGACUGAGACACGGCCAAGACUCCUACGGGAGGCAGCAGUGGGGAAUAUUGCACAAUGGGCGCAAGCAUGAUGCAGCGACGCCGCGUGAGGGAUGGAGGCCUGCGGGUUGUGAACCUCUUUCGCCAGUGAAGCAGGCCUGCCUCGUUUGUGGGUGGGUUGACGGUAGCUGGAUAAGAAGCGCCGGCUAACUACGUG
Molecule: ribosomal RNA, 494 nt
Filed under: uncultured bacterium
Lineage: Bacteria
Description: partial 16S ribosomal RNA
Rfam family: Bacterial small subunit ribosomal RNA
Source: RNAcentral